CACGCCGUAAACGAUGGAUGCUAGCCGUCGGCAAGCUUGCUUGUCGGUGGCGCAGCUAACGCAUUAAGCAUCCCGCCUGGGGAGUACGGCCGCAAGGUUAAAACUCAAAGGAAUUGACGGGGGCCCGCACAAGCGGUGGAGCAUGUGGUUUAAUUCGACGCAACGCGAAGAACCUUACCAGCUCUUGACAUUCACUGAUCGCCUGGAGAGAUCCGGGAGUCCUAGCAAUAGGCAGUGGGACAGGUGC
RNAcentral lists this ribosomal RNA (247 nucleotides) under uncultured Hyphomicrobium sp. RNAcentral's name for it is "partial 16S ribosomal RNA". It matches the Rfam family "Bacterial small subunit ribosomal RNA", at positions 796 to 1041 of the family's 1533-position model. Lineage: Bacteria; Pseudomonadati; Pseudomonadota; Alphaproteobacteria; Hyphomicrobiales; Hyphomicrobiaceae. The record is from RNAcentral.